Molecule: small RNA, 414 nt
Filed under: Pongo abelii (Sumatran orangutan)
Lineage: Eukaryota; Metazoa; Chordata; Mammalia; Primates; Hominidae
Description: processed transcript
Source: RNAcentral
UAGAGCGAAUGAAGCAAAGAUGGAAAGAAGCCCCCAAGCACAUUAAGGAGACCUAUGGACAGCAGUAUUUUGAUGCCUGUGAUAGGAGCCUUGUGGGAGUGGGACUUGUCAAUUUCCUAUAAGAAUAUUAUUCUGAAGACCUGGAGGAGGAGGUGGCAGCAGCGGUUAGAAGCAUGGGAAUGACUUCUAAUAGUUUACAGUAUCAUGAAGGAAGGGCUGUUGAAUUGUAGCACAAACCUGAACCUGGUCACUGACUGCAUGGAACAUGCUCUGACAUCGGUGCAUCCGCGAACUCGAUAUUCAGCUGGCUGGGAUGCUAAAUUUUUCUUCAUCCCUCUAUCUUAUUUACCUACAUCACUGGCAGACUACAUUUUGACUAGAUCUUGGCCCAAACCAGCCCAGGCAGUCUAAAGA